CCUACGGGAGGCUGCAGUGGGGAAUAUUGGACAAUGGGGGGAACCCUGAUCCAGCCAUGCCGCGUGUGUGAAGAAGGCCCUCGGGUUGUAAAGCACUUUCAGUGAGGAAGAACGCCUGGUGGUUAAUACCCAUCAGGAAAGACAUCACUCACAGAAGAAGCACCGGCUAACUCCGUGCCAGCAGCCGCGGUAAUACGGAGGGUGCGAGUGUUAAUCGGAAUUACUGGGCGUAAAGCGCGCGUAGGUGGCUUGAUAAGCCGGUUGUGAAAGCCCCGGGCUCAACCUGGGAACGGCAUCCGGAACUGUCAAGCUAGAGUGCAGGAGAGGAAGGUAGAAUUCCCGGUGUAGCGGUGAAAUGCGUAGAGAUCGGGAGGAAUACCAGUGGCGAAGGCGGCCUUCUGGACUGACACUGACACUGAGGUGCGAAAGCGUGGGUAGCAAACAGGAUUAGAUACCCCUGUAGUC
Molecule: ribosomal RNA, 465 nt
Filed under: Vreelandella stevensii
Lineage: Bacteria; Pseudomonadati; Pseudomonadota; Gammaproteobacteria; Oceanospirillales; Halomonadaceae
Description: partial 16S ribosomal RNA
Rfam family: Bacterial small subunit ribosomal RNA
Source: RNAcentral